This 440-nucleotide ribosomal RNA is filed under the name uncultured bacterium. RNAcentral describes it as "partial 16S ribosomal RNA". It matches the Rfam family "Bacterial small subunit ribosomal RNA", at positions 338 to 795 of the family's 1533-position model. The record is from RNAcentral.
CCUACGGGAGGCUGCAGUGGGGAAUAUUGCACAAUGGGGUUAACCCUGAUGCAGCGACGCCGCGUGAGUGCAGACUUAUCUCUGUAUUUUAAGCUCUUUCAGCCGGGAAGAAAAUGACGCUACCUGUCGCAGUAGCCCCGGUUAACUACGUGCCAGCAGCCGCGGGAAUCGGGAGGGGGCAAGCGUUAUUCGGAUUUAUUGGGGGUAAAGGCGGCUCAAUCGGGUGUGCAAGGUUGGAGGGAAAGGUGGGGGCCCAACCCGCGGACUGCUCUGGAAACUGUAAAGCUUGAGUGCAGGAGAGGUAAGCGGAAUGCCUAGUGUAGCGGUGAAAUGCGGAGAUAUUAGGAGGAACACCAGUGGCGAAGGCGGCUUACUGGACUGCAACUGACGUUGAGGCUCGAAAGCGUGGGGAGCAAACAGGAUUAGAUACCCCAGUAGUC